CUAGGAAAACCGAAAACAGUUCUAGACAGACCUGCGGUUUUAUAGCAGUUUUGGCAGUCAACUUCAGCUUGUGCCUGAGCAGACGGGGUUGUGGUGGCCCGCCAGCGGGGGAUGCCAGGCCACCUCCCCCAGCGGCACGCAGCCCCUCUCUUAAUUAGAUCGGUUUUCCCCUGGUGUCCGGGAGAGCGGUCCCGGCAGAAAGGAGGUCCAACAGCCGAGCUUAGCCCACCGGGCUCUGGGAAAGACCCGACUGAGGCUAAAGCCGCCCCGGAAGGCCAAGUCCGAGUUCCAUUUCUUGAAGAGGCCGGCGCGCGUAAGGCUGUGACAUUGGCCCUGGCGACUGGCUUCCCAGGAGCUGUUCUUUCUCAGGAGCUCCACAGCGCGGGCCAUCUCCAGAAAACUGUCUUCAGAGUGUAUUUCCUUUUAUCGUCAACCCAGAGCCCCACCGCGGCUAAUGCAAGAGGCCAAAAAAUGUUUGGAGGAAGAAAAACAAAGGCAGGAAGUGGCGGCGGCCUGACGGUGCGUGUGUGUCUGCAGAGAAGGGAGGGAGCCGGCUCAGUCUCUUCUUGUUUUUCCAAACUUCAAGGUCCAGGCAGCCCUCUGCAGGGCCGGGCCCCAUUGCUCCCCGCGCGGCAUUGGAGGUGGCCGCCCGGAGAGGAGAAGGCCAACGCCUGCGCCAGGCUUGUCAGGCGGAAACGGCUAACAAGGAGAUUUGGUCAGCAAAACAGACCCAGCCUUUCCGAGGCUUCGUCUGACUUGGCCCGAAAGGUUGGGGAGGGGGGGCUUGCGCAGAGCCUCAGGGACCCUCCUCUCUGGGGACUACC
This is a long non-coding RNA of Homo sapiens (human), 824 nucleotides long. Ensembl annotates it as HOXA11 antisense RNA. Its record names the gene HOXA11-AS. NCBI's taxonomy places the organism in Eukaryota, Metazoa, Chordata, Mammalia, Primates, Hominidae. The record is from Ensembl.